CCCCAUGCAGACUAUUAUCCUAACGGCACGGUGCGGACCUACUUGUUCGUUACGUCGCUUAUUCAAGUGCUCUGGGACACAGCUCGGGAUUCGAACAUCAGUUACCGGACCACUGUAAACCCAGUCAAUGUUUGGGGAAACCGACUGCCGAACGGCUCCUGGACGGGCUUCCUCGGAGAACUUCAGAGGAACGAAAGCGACGUGUCGUUCACGCUGUUCUCACCGACCGUCGACCGGCAACA
Rhipicephalus microplus (southern cattle tick) is the source of this 242-nucleotide long non-coding RNA. Lineage: Eukaryota; Metazoa; Arthropoda; Arachnida; Ixodida; Ixodidae. The record is from RefSeq and is a predicted model, not a curated record.